AAUUGCGAUCUUAAACUUGUGCAUUGAACAUAUAUAACCAGAUAUUGUAAAUAUAUCGGAUCUUAUGUGUUUAUUAAAAGAAAACUAGUGUGUGAAAAUACAUUAAAUAGAGUGAAAGUAACGUUUUUCUAUUGCCAAAACAAAUGCUUGGAGUCAACUUGGCAGUAAUUCCAGUUUCGUCCACAAAGAGUCGCUGUGGUUCCACAGAAAUACAACUACACCAUCUUCACUCUGAACGCGUUGUUGUCUCCCCAAUCAGUGCACCUGAGUCCAACUGGCCGUCCGCAGCCUCCUGUGCUCGGCUAAGUAGCAUUACCAUUCGGUCAACGAACUGUUCCCGUCAGUGUUCAAAAGCUGAAUGCAACGAUUAGAAGGAAAUAUUUCUUUCUGAGAAUUAAUACAAAAUGAGACAUGGCGUGAGUUUGUGGCCUCCCUAUCCCCCAGCCCUGGCUACACUUGCCUCCCUGUUUUCCACCCAAAUCCCCCCUCGUCCCUCACGGUGCGCAGGCAACUGUUAGCGCAGCGUUUUACGGAGUUUUUCUUUACCGCGGUUUGCAAACGAAUAAACUAAAAAGUUUGUCAGCGAACAUAAAGUUUUGUGGAGGGAAGUUGAAUUCCCGCUGUGGUUGACUGUUUUUGGACUUCACAUCGUACAGUUGUUCACUUCCGUUGUCAACAGAAAAACCGCCAUUUUCUAACAGCAGAUACUAAUUGUGUGGGGAGGUAAACACAGCAGUCAACUGGAGAGGAUGGCGAGUCAAGCGUGAAUAUCAAUCUCACGACAUCAGUGUCAUCAGGUGACUUUGACGGAGUUGAGACGGGAGCUCAUUAGGAAAGUGGAGCUGAGCGUGGGGGGCGGGGGCCAACCAGCAUCCUGUCCAAGGACUCUGAAGUGGAGAAGACCUGCAGAGUUUACCAGCUAACAGACUAUCUCCGCUCCGGCAACACCAUUUAUUCUGCUGUGAAGACAAGCCAAUCUUGUUUUGUGUGCGUGUUCCCCUCCUGAAAAGCUGCCUGGGCUUACCUGUAUCUCCGGCUUCAUCAGCCUCCUGAUGAAACCCAUACUGGCC
Cynoglossus semilaevis (tongue sole) is the source of this 1070-nucleotide long non-coding RNA. RefSeq lists it as uncharacterized. NCBI's taxonomy places the organism in Eukaryota, Metazoa, Chordata, Actinopteri, Pleuronectiformes, Cynoglossidae. The record is from RefSeq and is a predicted model, not a curated record. The transcript is spliced from 3 exons.